RNAcentral lists this ribosomal RNA (2891 nucleotides) under Vibrio parahaemolyticus. RNAcentral's name for it is "23S ribosomal RNA". It matches the Rfam family "Bacterial large subunit ribosomal RNA". Lineage: Bacteria; Pseudomonadati; Pseudomonadota; Gammaproteobacteria; Vibrionales; Vibrionaceae. The record is from RNAcentral.
GGUUAAGUGACUAAGCGUACACGGUGGAUGCCUUGGCAGUCAGAGGCGAUGAAAGACGUAGUAACUUGCGAUAAGCCCAGAUUAGGUAGUAACAACCAUUUGAGUCUGGGAUUUCUGAAUGGGGAAACCCACGUGCAUAAGCACGUAUCCUUACCUGAAUACAUAGGGUAAGGAGGCGAACCGGGGGAACUGAAACAUCUAAGUACCCCGAGGAAAAGAAAUCAACCGAGAUUCCGAAAGUAGCGGCGAGCGAAAUUGGACUAGCCCUUAAGCUUUACACGCGUUAGACGAACGGUCUGGAAAGUCCGACGAUACAGGGUGAUAGUCCCGUAGUUGACGAUGUGUGUUCAGUGAAAUCGAGUAGGGCGGGACACGUGAUAUCCUGUCUGAAUAUGGGGGGACCAUCCUCCAAGGCUAAAUACUACUGACUGACCGAUAGUGAACCAGUACCGUGAGGGAAAGGCGAAAAGAACCCCUGUGAGGGGAGUGAAAUAGAACCUGAAACCGUGUACGUACAAGCAGUAGGAGCAGGCUUUGUCCUGUGACUGCGUACCUUUUGUAUAAUGGGUCAGCGACUUAUAUUCAGUGGCAAGGUUAACCAUCUAGGGGAGCCGUAGGGAAACCGAGUCUUAACUGGGCGUUCAGUCUCUGGAUAUAGACCCGAAACCAGGUGAUCUAGCCAUGGGCAGGUUGAAGGUUGAGUAACAUCAACUGGAGGACCGAACCGACUAAUGUUGAAAAAUUAGCGGAUGACUUGUGGCUAGGGGUGAAAGGCCAAUCAAACCUGGAGAUAGCUGGUUCUCCCCGAAAGCUAUUUAGGUAGCGCCUCGGACGAAUACUACUGGGGGUAGAGCACUGUUAAGGCUAGGGGGUCAUCCCGACUUACCAACCCUUUGCAAACUCCGAAUACCAGUAAGUACUAUCCGGGAGACACACGGCGGGUGCUAACGUCCGUCGUGGAGAGGGAAACAACCCAGACCGCCAGCUAAGGUCCCAAAUUACUACUAAGUGGGAAACGAUGUGGGAAGGCUCAGACAGCCAGGAUGUUGGCUUAGAAGCAGCCAUCAUUUAAAGAAAGCGUAAUAGCUCACUGGUCGAGUCGGCCUGCGCGGAAGAUGUAACGGGGCUAAGUAGUAAACCGAAGCUGCGGCAAUGUGCUUUUGCACAUUGGGUAGGGGAGCGUUCUGUAAGCGGUUGAAGGUGUGUGGUAACGCAUGCUGGACGUAUCAGAAGUGCGAAUGCUGACAUGAGUAACGAUAAAGGGGGUGAAAAACCUCCUCGCCGGAAGACCAAGGGUUCCUGUCCAACGUUAAUCGGGGCAGGGUAAGUCGACCCCUAAGGCGAGGCCGAAAGGCGUAGUCGAUGGGAAACGGGUUAAUAUUCCCGUACUUCUUACAAUUGCGAUGGGGGGACGGAGAAGGCUAGGUGGGCCUGGCGACGGUUGUCCAGGUUCAAGUGCGUAGGCUUAAGAGUUAGGUAAAUCCGGCUCUUUUUAAGGCUGAGACACGACGUCGAGCACCUACGGGUGUGAAGUCAUUGAUGCCAUGCUUCCAGGAAAAGCCUCUAAGCUUCAGAUUGUAAGGAAUCGUACCCCAAACCGACACAGGUGGUCGGGUAGAGAAUACCAAGGCGCUUGAGAGAACUCGGGUGAAGGAACUAGGCAAAAUGGUACCGUAACUUCGGGAGAAGGUACGCUCUUGAUGGUGAAGUCCCUUGCGGAUGGAGCUGACGAGAGUCGCAGAUACCAGGUGGCUGCAACUGUUUAUUAAAAACACAGCACUGUGCAAAAUCGUAAGAUGACGUAUACGGUGUGACGCCUGCCCGGUGCCGGAAGGUUAAUUGAUGGGGUUAGACUUCGGUCGAAGCUCUUGAUCGAAGCCCCGGUAAACGGCGGCCGUAACUAUAACGGUCCUAAGGUAGCGAAAUUCCUUGUCGGGUAAGUUCCGACCUGCACGAAUGGCGUAAUGAUGGCCACGCUGUCUCCACCCGAGACUCAGUGAAAUUGAAAUCGCUGUGAAGAUGCAGUGUACCCGCGGCUAGACGGAAAGACCCCGUGAACCUUUACUACAGCUUGGCACUGAACAUUGACCCUACAUGUGUAGGAUAGGUGGGAGGCUUUGAAGCACGUACGCCAGUAUGUGUGGAGCCGUCCUUGAAAUACCACCCUUGUAGUGUUGAUGUUCUAACGUCGACCCCUUAUCGGGGUUGCGGACAGUGCCUGGUGGGUAGUUUGACUGGGGCGGUCUCCUCCCAAAGAGUAACGGAGGAGCACGAAGGUGGGCUAAUCACGGUUGGACAUCGUGAGGUUAGUGCAAUGGCAUAAGCCCGCUUGACUGCGAGAAUGACAAUUCGAGCAGGUGCGAAAGCAGGUCAUAGUGAUCCGGUGGUUCUGAAUGGAAGGGCCAUCGCUCAACGGAUAAAAGGUACUCCGGGGAUAACAGGCUGAUACCGCCCAAGAGUUCAUAUCGACGGCGGUGUUUGGCACCUCGAUGUCGGCUCAUCACAUCCUGGGGCUGAAGUCGGUCCCAAGGGUAUGGCUGUUCGCCAUUUAAAGUGGUACGCGAGCUGGGUUUAGAACGUCGUGAGACAGUUCGGUCCCUAUCUGCCGUGGGCGUUGGAAGAUUGAAGGGGGCUGCUCCUAGUACGAGAGGACCGGAGUGGACGAACCUCUGGUGUUCGGGUUGUGUCGCCAGACGCAUUGCCCGGUAGCUAAGUUCGGAAUCGAUAACCGCUGAAAGCAUCUAAGCGGGAAGCGAGCCCUGAGAUGAGUCUUCCCUGAUACUUUAAGUAUCCUAAAGGGUUGUCGGAGACUACGACGUUGAUAGGUCAGGUGUGUAAGUGCUGUGAGGCAUUGAGCUAACUGAUACUAAUUGCCCGUGAGGCUUAACCAU